This 381-nucleotide ribosomal RNA is filed under the name uncultured Pseudomonas sp. RNAcentral describes it as "bacterial SSU rRNA". It matches the Rfam family "Bacterial small subunit ribosomal RNA", at positions 1005 to 1382 of the family's 1533-position model. Lineage: Bacteria; Pseudomonadati; Pseudomonadota; Gammaproteobacteria; Pseudomonadales; Pseudomonadaceae. The record is from RNAcentral.
GCCGUGGGUGCCCCGCGAGGGGAGCCCUAGCACAGGUGCUGCAUGGCCGUCGUCAGCUCGUGCCGUGAGGUGUUGGGUUAAGUCCCGUAACGAGCGCAACCCUUGUCCUUAGUUACCAGCACGUAAUGGUGGGAACUCUAAGGAGACUGCCGGUGACAAACCGGAGGAAGGUGGGGAUGACGUCAAGUCAUCAUGGCCCUUACGGCCAGGGCUACACACGUGCUACAAUGGUCGGUACAAAAGGGUUGCCAAGCCGCGAGGUGGAGCUAAUCCCAUAAAACCGAUCGUAGUCCGGAUCGCAGUCUGCAACUCGACUGCGUGAAGUCGGAAUCGCUAGUAAUCGUGAAUCAGAAUGUCACGGUGAAUACGUUCCCGGGCCUU